GGCGAACGGGUGAGUAAUACAUCGGAACGUGCCCCGUAGCGGGGGAUAACCAGUCGAAAGACUGGCUAAUACCGCAUACGCUCCACGGAGGAAAGCAGGGGAUCGCAAGACCUUGCACUAUGGGAGCGGCCGAUGCCCGAUUAGCUAGUUGGUGAGGUAAAGGCUCACCAAGGCGACGAUCGGUAGCUGGUCUGAGAGGACGACCAGCCACACUGGGACUGAGACACGGCCAGACUCCAUACGGGAGGCAGCAGUGGGGAAUUUUGGACAAUGGGCGCAAGCCUGAUCCAGCCAUGCCGCGUGCGGGAAGAAGGCCUUCGGGUUGUAAACCGCUUUUGGCAGGAACGAAACGGCGCGAGUUAAUACCCCGCGCUAAUGACGGUACCUGCAGAAUAAGCACCGGCUAACUACGUGCCAGCCGCCGCGG
Molecule: ribosomal RNA, 427 nt
Filed under: uncultured bacterium
Lineage: Bacteria
Description: bacterial SSU rRNA
Rfam family: Bacterial small subunit ribosomal RNA
Source: RNAcentral